AACGGGUGGGCUACAGCCUUGGGUGGUGGGGCUGGCCAACUUCGUCCGCCGGACUCGGAAUGCCGCUAUACUUUGCGAGGGGCCUCCGUGUACCAAAAAUAGGCCGCGGGCAAUGCCGCGCCCAAAAGUAACCGCCCGAAGGCCGGGGCGCCAAGUUCGUCCAGCGGAAAAAGGCCACAAAAACGGGUGGGCUAUAGCCUUGGGGGGUGGGGCUGUCCAACUUCGUCCGCCGGACUCAGAAUGCCGUGAGACUUUGCGAGGGGCCUCCGUGUACCAAAAUAAGGGCGCGGGCAAAGCCGCGCUGAAAAAUAAUUGCCUGAAGGCCGGGGCGCCAAGUUCGUCAAGCGGAAAAAGGCCAGAAAAACGGGUGGGAUAUAGCCUUGGGGGGUGGGGCUGGCCAACUUCGUCCGCCGGACUCGGAAUGCCGCGAGACUUUGCGACGGGCCUCCGUGUGCCAAAAAUAGGCAGUGGGAUGUUUAAAAGGUUCGCUGUUCAAAAUUUUAUGUUAUCUAGUGAUAAAAUUUUUGUACUGCAUUUUAUAGAUAGGUAGCAGCAGCAAGUUCCGGGGCGCCAAGUUCGUCCAGCGGAAAAAGGCCACAAAAACGGGUGGGCUAUAGCCUUCGGGAGUGAUGCUGUCCAACUUCGUCCGCCUGACUCGGAAUGCCGCGAGACUUUACGAGGGGCCUCCGUGUGCCAAAAAUAGGCCGCGGGCAAAGCAGCGCACAAAAUUAACAGCCCGAAGGCUGGGGCGCCAAGUUCGUCCAGCGGAGAAAGGCCACAAAAACGGGUGGGCUAUAGCCUUGGGGGGUGGGGCUGGCCAACUUCGUCCGCCAGACUCAGAAUGCCGCGAGACUUUGCGAGGGCCCUCCGUGUACCAAAAAUAGGCCGCGGGCAAAGCUGCGCCCAAAAUUAACAGCCCCAAGGCCGGGGCGCCAAGUUCGUCCAUCGUAAAAAGGCCACAAAAACGGGUGGGCUAUAGCCUUGGGGGGUGGGGCUGGCCAACUUCGUCCGCCGGACUCGGAAUGCCGCGAGACUUUGCGAGGGUCCUCCGUGUGCCAAAAAUAGGCCGUGGGAUAUUUAAAAGGUUCGUGGUUCAAAAUUUUAUGUUAUCUAGUGAUAAAAUUUUGUAGUGCAUUUUAUAGAUAGGUAGCAGCCGCAAGUUCCGGGGCGCCAAGUUCGUCCAGCGGAAAAAGGGCACAAAAACGGGUGGGCUAUAGCCUUGGGGGGUGAUGCUGGCCCACUUCGUCCGCCGGACUCGCAAUGCCGCGAGACUUUGUGAGUGGCCUCCGUGUGACAAAAAUAGGCCGCGGGCAAAGCCGCGCCCAAAAUUAACCGCCCGAAGGCCGGGGCGCCAAGUUCGUCCAACGGAAAAAGGCCACAAAAACGGGUGGGCUAUAGCCUUGGGGGGUGUGGCUGGCCAACUUCGUCCGCCGGACUCGGAAUACCGCAAGACUUUGCGAGGGCCCUCCGUGUGCCAAAAAUAGGCCGCGGGCAAAGCCGCGCCCAAAAUUAACCGCCCGAAGGCCGGGGCGCCAAGUUCGUCCAGCGGAAAAAGGACACAAAAACGGGUGGGCUAUAGCCUUGGGGGGUGGGGCUGGCCAACUUCGUCCGCCGGACUCGGAAUGCCGCGAGACUUUGCGAGGGUCCUCCGUGUGCCAAAAAUAGGCCGUGGGAUGUUUAAAAGGUUCGUGGUUCAAAAUUUUAUGUUAUCUAGUGAUAAAAUUUUGUAGUGCAUUUUAUAGAUAGGUAACAGCAGCAAGUUCCGGGGCGCCAAGUUCGUCCAGCGGAAAAAGGCCACAAAAACGGGUGGGCUAUAGCCUUCGGGGUGGGGCUGGCCAACUUCGUCCGCCGGACUCGGAAUGCCGCGAGACUUUGCGAGGGGCCUCCGUGUGCCAAAAAUAGGCCGCCGGCAAAGCCGCGCACAAAAUUAACCGCCCGAAGGCCGAGGCGCCAAGUUCUCCCAUCGGAAAAAGCCACAAAAACGGGUGGGCUAUAUCCUUGGGGGGUGGGGCUGGCCAACUUCAUCCGCCGGACUCGGAAUGCCGCGAGACUUUGCGACGGGCCUCCGUGUGCCAAAAAUAGGCCGCGGGCAAAGCCGCGCCAAAAAAUAACCGCCCGACGGCCGGGGCGCCAAGUUCGUUCAGCGGAAAAAGGCCACAAAAACGGGUGGGCAACAGCCUUGGGGGGUGGGGGUGGCCAACUUCGUCCGCCGGACUCGGAAUGCCGCAGGACUUUGUGAGUGGCCUCCGUGUGCCAAAAAUAGGCCGCCGGCAAAGCCGCGCCCAAAAUUAACCACCCGAAGGCCGAGGCGCCAAGUUCUCCCAGCGGAAAAAGCAACAAAAGCGGGUGGGCUAUAUCCUUGGGGGCUGGCCAACUUCGUCCGCCGGACUCGGAAUGCCGCGAGACUUUGCGACGGGCCUCCGUGUGCCAAAAAUAGGCCGUGGGAUGUUUAAAAGGUUCAUGGUUCAAAAUUUUAGGUUAUCUAGUGAUAACAUUUUGUAGUGCAUUUUAUAGAUAGGUAGCAGCAGAAAGUUCCAGGGCGCCAAGUUCGUCCAGCGGAAAAAGGCCACAAAAACGGGUGGGCUAUAGCCUUGGGGGGUGGGGCUGGCUAACUUCGUCCGCCGGACUUGGAAUGCCGCGAGACUUUGCGAGGGGCCUCUGUGUGCCAAAAAUAGGCUGCGGGCAAAGCCGCACCCAAAAUUAACAGCCCGAAGGCCAGGGCGCCAAGUUCGUCCAGCGGAAAAAGGCCACAAAAACGGGUGGGCUAUAGCCUUGGGGGGUGAUGCUGGCCAACUUCGUCCGCCGGACUCGGAAUGCCAUGAGACUUUGCGAGGGGCCUCCUUGUGCCAAAAAUAGGCCGCGGGCAAAGCCGUGCCCAAAAAUAACCGCCCGAAGGCCGGGGCGGCAAGUUCGUCCAGCGGAAAAAGGCCACAAAAACGGGUGGGCUAUAGCCUUGGGGGGUGAUGCUGGCCCACUUCGUCCGCCGGACUCGGAAUGCUGCGAGACUUUGCGAGGGGCCUUCUUGUGCCAAAAAUAGGCCGCGGGCAAAGCCGCACCCAAAAAUAACCGCCCGAUGGCUGGGGUGCCAAGUUCGUCCAGCAGAAAAAGGCCACAAAAACGGGUGGGCUAUUGCCUUGGGGGGUGGGGUUGCCCAACUUCGUCCCCCGGACUCGGAAUGCCGCGAGACUUUGCGAGGGGCCUCCGUGUGCCAAAAAUAAGCCGCGGGUAAAGCCGCGCCCAAAAUUAACCGCCCGAAGGCUGGGGCGCCAAGUUCGUCCGGCGGAAAAAGGCCACAAAAACGAGUGGGCUAUAGCCUUGGGGGGUGGGGCUGGCCAACUUCGUCCGCCGGGCUCGGAUUGCGACGAGACAUUGCGAGGGGCCUCCGUGUACCAAAAAUAGGUCGCGGGAAAAGCCGCACCCAAAAAUAACAGCCCGAAGGCCUGGGCAACAAGUUCGUCCAGCGGAAAAAGGCCACAAAAACGGGUGGGCUAUAGCCUUGGGCGGUGGGUCUGGCGAACUUCGUCUGCCGGACUCGGAAUGCCGCGAGACUUUCCGAGGGGCCUCCGUGUGCCAAAAAUAGGCCGCGGGCAAAGCCGCGCCCAAAAAUAACCGCCCGACGGCUGGGGUGCCCAGUUCGUCCCGCGGAAAAAGGCCAUAAAAACGGGUGGGCUAUAGCCUUGGGGGGUGAUGAUUGCCAACUUCGUCCGCCGGACUCGGAAUGCCGCGAGACUUUGCGAGGGNNNNNNNNNNNNNNNNNNNNNNNNNNNNNNNNNNNNNNNNNNNNNNNNNNNNNNNNNNNNNNNNNNNNNNNNNNNNNNNNNNNNNNNNNNNNNNNNNNNNNNNNNNNNNNNNNNNNNNNNNNNNNNNNNNNNNNNNNNNNNNNNNNNNNNNNNNNNNNNNNNNNNNNNNNNNNNNNNNNNNNNNNNNNNNUGCCAAAAAUAGGCCGCGGGCAAAGCCGCGCCCAAAAUUAACCGCCCGAAGGCCGGGGCGCCAAGUUCGUCCAGUGGAAAAAGGCCACAAAAACGGGUGGGCUAUAGCCUUGGGGGGUGGGGCUGGCCAACUUCGUCCGCCGGACUCGGAAUGCCGCGAGACUUUGCGAGGGGUCUCCGUGUGCCAAAAAUAGUCCGUGGGCAAAGCCGUGCCCAAAAAUAACCGCCCGAAGGCCGGGGCGCCAAGUUCGUCCAUCGGAAAAAGGCCACAAAAACGGGUGGGCUAUAGCCUUGGGGGGUGGGGCUGGCCAACUUCGUCCGCCGGACUCGGAUUGCCACGAGACAUUGCGAGGGGCCUCCGUGUGCCAAAAAUAGGUCGCAGGCAAAGCCGCGCCCAAAAAUAACAGCCCAAAGACCUGGGCGCCAACUUCGUCCAGCAGAAAAAGGCCACAAAAACGGGUGGGCUAUAGCCUUGGGGGGUGGGUCUGGCCAACUUCGUCCGCCGGACUCAGAAUGCCGCGAGACUUUGCGAGGGGCCUCCGUGUGUCAAAAAUAGGCCGCGGGAAAAGCCGCGCCCAAAAAGAACCGCCCGACGGCUGGGGUACCAAGUUCGUCCAGCGGAAAAAGGCUACAAAAACGGGUGGGCUAUAGCCUUGGGGGGUGGGGCUGGCUAACUUCGUCCGCCGGACUUGGAAUGCCGCGAGACUUUGCGAGGGGCCUCCGUGUUCCAAAAAUAGGCCGCGGGCAAAGCCGUACCCAAAAUUAACCGCCCGAAGGCUGGGGCGCCAAGUUUGUCCAGCGGAAAAAGGCCACAAAAACGGGUGGGCUAUAGCCUUGGGGGGUGAUGCUGGCCAUCUUUGUCCGCCGGACUUGGAAUGCCACGAGACUUUGCGAGGGCCCUCCGUGUGCCAAAAAUAGGCCGUGGGCAAAGCCGCGCCCAAAAUUAACCGCCCGAAGGCCGGGGCGCCAAGUUCGUCCAGCGGAAAAGGCCACAAAAACGGGUGGGCUAUAGCCUUGGGGGGUGGGGCUAGCCAACUUCAUCCGCCGGACUCGGAAUGCCGUGAGACUUUAUGAGGGGCCUCCUUGUCCCAAACAUAGGCCGUGGGCAAAGCCGCGCCCAAAAAUAACCGCCCGAAGGCCGGGGCGGCAAGUUCGUCCAGCGGAAAAAGGCCACAAAAACGGGUGGGCUAUAGCCUUGGGGGGUGAUGCUGGCCCACUUCCUCCGCCGGACUCGGAAUGCUGCGAGACUUUGCGAGGGGCCUUCGUGUGCCAAAAAUAGGCCGCGGGCAAAGCCGCACCCAAAAAUAACCGCCCGACGGCUGGGGUGCCAAGUACGUCCAGCAGAAAAAGGCCACAAAAACGGGUGGGCUAUUGCCUUGGGGGGUGGGGUUGCCCAACUUCGUCCCCCGGACUCGGAAUGCCGCGAGACUUUGCGAGGGGCCUCCGUGUGCCAAAAAUAAGCCGCGGGUAAAGCCGCGCCCAAAAUUAACCGCCCGAAGGCUGGGGCGCCAAGUUCGUCCGGCGGAAAAAAGGCCACAAAAACGAGUGGGCUAUAGCCUUGGGGGGUGGGGCUGGCCAACUUCGUCCGCCGGGCUCGGAUUGCGACGAGACAUUGCGAGGGGCCUCCGUGUACCAAAAAUAAGUCGCGGGAAAAGCCGCACCCAAAAUAACAGCCCGAAAGCCUGGGCAACAAGUUCGUCCAGCGGAAAAAGGCCACAAAAACGGGUGGGCUAUAGCCUUGGGCAGUUGGGUCUGGCGAACUUCGUCUGCCGGACUCGGAUGCCGCGAGACUUUGCGAGGGGCCUCCGUGUGUCAAAAAUAGGCCGCGGGAAAAGCCGCGCCCAAAAAGAACCGCCCGACGGCUGGGGUACCAAGUUCGUCCAGCGGAAAAAGGCUACAAAAACGGGUGGGCUAUAGCCUUGGGGGGUGGGGCUGGCUAACUUCGUCCGCCGGACUUGGAAUGCCGCGAGACUUUGCGAGGGGCCUCCGUGUUCCAAAAAUAGGCCGCGGGCAAAGCCGUACCCAAAAUUAACCGCCCGAAGGCUGGGGCGCCAAGUUUGUCCAGCGGAAAAAGGCCACAAAAACGGGUGGGCUAUAGCCUUGGGGGGUGAUGCUGGCCAUCUUUGUCCGCCGGACUUGGAAUGCCACGAGACUUUGCGAGGGCCCUCCGUGUGCCAAAAAUAGGCCGUGGGCAAAGCCGCGCCCAAAAUUAACCGCCCGAAGGCCGGGGCGCCAAGUUCGUCCAGCGGAAAAGGCCACAAAAACGGGUGGGCUAUAGCCUUGGGGGGUGGGGCUAGCCAACUUCAUCCGCCGGACUCGGAAUGCCGUGAGACUUUAUGAGGGGCCUCCUUGUCCCAAACAUAGGCCGUGGGCAAAGCCGCGCCCAAAAAUAACCGCCCGAAGGCCGGGGCGGCAAGUUCGUCCAGCGGAAAAAGGCCACAAAAACGGGUGGGCUAUAGCCUUGGGGGGUGAUGCUGGCCCACUUCGUCCGCCGGACUCGGAAUGCUGCGAGACUUUGCGAGGGGCCUUCGUGUGCCAAAAAUAGGCCGCGGGCAAAGCCGCACCCAAAAAUAACCGCCCGACGGCUGGGGUGCCAAGUACGUCCAGCAGAAAAAGGCCACAAAAACGGGUGGGCUAUUGCCUUGGGGGGUGGGGUUGCCCAACUUCGUCCCCCGGACUCGGAAUGCCGCGAGACUUUGCGAGGGGCCUCCGUGUGCCAAAAAUAAGCUGCGGGUAAAGCCGCGCCCAAAAUUAACCGCCCGAAGGCUGGGGCGCCAAGUUCGUCCGGCGGAAAAAGGCCACAAAAACGAGUGGGCUAUAGCCUUGGGGGGUGGGGCUGGCCAACUUCGUCCGCCGGGCUCGGAUUGCGACGAGACAUUGCGAGGGGCCUCUGUGUACCAAAAAUAGGUCGCGGGAAAAGCCGCACCCAAAAAUAACAGCCCGAAGGCCUGGGCAACAAGUUCGUCCAGCGGAAAAAGGCCACAAAAACGGGUGGGCUAUAGCCUUGGGCGGUGGGUCUGGCGAACUUCGUCUGCCGGACUCGGAAUGCCGCGAGACUUUCCGAGGGGCCUCCGUGUGCCAAAAAUAGGCCGCGGGCAAAGCCGCGCCCAAAAAUAACCGCCCGACGGCUGGGGUGCCCAGUUCGUCCCGCGGAAAAAGGCCAUAAAAACGGGUGGGCUAUAGCCUUGGGGGGUGAUGAUUGCCAACUUCGUCCGCCGGACUCGGAAUGCCGCGAGACUUUGCGAGGGGCCUCCGUGUGCCAAAAAUAGGCCGCGGGCAAAGCCGUGCCCAAAAUUAACCGCCCGAAGGCCGGGGCGCCAAGUUCGUCCACCGGAAAAAGGCCACAAAAACGGGCGGGCUAUACCCUUGGGGGGUGAUGCUGGNNNNNNNNNNNNNNNNNNNNNNNNNNNNNNNNNNNNNNNNNNNNNNNNNNNNNNNNNNNNNNNNNNNNNNNNNNNNNNNNNNNNNNNNNNNNNNNNNNNNCCGCGUGCCAAAAAUAGGCCACGGACAAUGCCGCGUCCAAAAUUAACCGCCCGAAGGCCGGGGCGCCAAGUUCGUCCAGUGGAAAAAGGCCACAAAAACGGGUGGGCUAUAGCCUUGGGGGGUGGGGCUGGCCAACUUCGUCCGCCGGACUCGGAAUGCCGCGAGACUUUGCGAGGGGUCUCCGUGUGCCAAAAAUAGUCUGUGGGCAAAGCCGUGCACAAAAAUAACCGCCCGAAGGCCGGGGCGCCAAGUUCGUCCAUCGGAAAAAGGCCACAAAAACGGGUGGGCUAUAGCCUUGGGGGGUGGGGCUGGCCAACUUCGUCCGCCGGACUCGGAUUGCCACGAGACAUUGCGAGGGGCCUCCGUGUGCCAAAAAUAGGUCGCAGGCAAAGCCGCGCCCAAAAAUAACAGCCCAAAGACCUGGGCGCCAACUUCGUCCAGCAGAAAAAGGCCACAAAAACGGGUGGGCUAUAGCCUUGGGGGGUGGGUCUGGCCAACUUCGUCCGCCGGACUCGGAAUGCCGCGAGACUUUGCGAGGGGCCUCCGUGUGUCAAAAAUAGGCCGCGGGAAAAGCCGCGCCCAAAAAGAACCGCCCGACGGCUGGGGUACCAAGUUCGUCCAGCGGAAAAAGGCUACAAAAACGGGUGGGCUAUAGCCUUGGGGGGUGGGGCUGGCUAACUUCGUCCGCCGGACUUGGAAUGCCGCGAGACUUUGCGAGGGGCCUCCGUGUUCCAAAAAUAGGCCGCGGGCAAAGCCGUACCCAAAAUUAACCGCCCGAAGGCUGGGGCGCCAAGUUUGUCCAGCGGAAAAAGGCCACAAAAACGGGUGGGCUAUAGCCUUGGGGGGUGAUGCUGGCCAUCUUUGUCCGCCGGACUUGGAAUGCCACGAGACUUUGCGAGGGCCCUCCGUGUGCCAAAAAUAGGCCGUGGGCAAAGCCGCGCCCAAAAUUAACCGCCCGAAGGCCGGGGCGCCAAGUUCGUCCAGCGGAAAAGGCCACAAAAACGGGUGGGCUAUAGCCUUGGGGGGUGGGGCUAGCCAACUUCAUCCGCCGGACUCGGAAUGCCGUGAGACUUUAUGAGGGGCCUCCUUGUCCCAAACAUAGGCCGUGGGCAAAGCCGCGCCCAAAAAUAACCGCCCGAAGGCCGGGGCGGCAAGUUCGUCCAGCGGAAAAAGGCCACAAAAACGGGUGGGCUAUAGCCUUGGGGGGUGAUGCUGGCCCACUUCGUCCGCCGGACUCGGAAUGCUGCGAGACUUUGCGAGGGGCCUUCGUGUGCCAAAAAUAGGCCGCGGGCAAAGCCGCACCCAAAAAUAACCGCCCGACGGCUGGGGUGCCAAGUACGUCCAGCAGAAAAAGGCCACAAAAACGGGUGGGCUAUUGCCUUGGGGGGUGGGGUUGCCCAACUUCGUCCCCCGGACUCGGAAUGCCGCGAGACUUUGCGAGGGGCCUCCGUGUGCCAAAAAUAAGCCGCGGGUAAAGCCGCGCCCAAAAUUAACCGCCCGAAGGCUGGGGCGCCAAGUUCGUCCGGCGGAAAAAGGCCACAAAAACGAGUGGGCUAUAGCCUUGGGGGGUGGGGCUGGCCAACUUCGUCCGCCGGGCUCGGAUUGCGACGAGACAUUGCGAGGGGCCUCCGUGUACCAAAAAUAGGUCGCGGGAAAAGCCGCACCCAAAAAUAACAGCCCGAAGGCCUGGGCAACAAGUUCGUCCAGCGGAAAAAGGCCACAAAAACGGGUGGGCUAUAGCCUUGGGCGGUGGGUCUGGCGAACUUCGUCUGCCGGACUCGGAAUGCCGCGAGACUUUCCGAGGGGCCUCCGUGUGCCAAAAAUAGGCCGCGGGCAAAGCCGCGCCCAAAAAUAACCGCCCGACGGCUGGGGUGCCCAGUUCGUCCCGCGGAAAAAGGCCACAAAAACGGGUGGGCUAUAGCCUUGGGGGUUGAUGAUUGCCAACUUCGUCCGCCGGACUCGGAAUGCCGCGAGACUUUGCGAGGGGCCUCCGUGUGCCAAAAAUAGGCCGCGGGCAAAGCCGUGCCCAAAAUUAACCGCCCGAAGGCCGGGGCGCCAAGUUCGUCCAGCGGAAAAAGGCCACAAAAACGGGUGGGCUAUAGCCUUGGGGGGUGAUGCUGGCCAACUUCGUCCGCCGGACUCGGAAUGCCGCGAGACUUUGCGAGGGGCCUCCGCGUGCCAAAAAUAGGCCACGGACAAUGCCGCGUCCAAAAUUAACCGCCCGAAGGCCGGGGCGCCAAGUUCGUCCAGUGGAAAAAGGCCACAAAAACGGGUGGGCUAUAGCCUUGGGGGGUGGGGCUGGCCAACUUCGUCCGCCGGACUCGGAAUGCCGCGAGACUUUGCGAGGGGUCUCCGUGUACCAAAAAUAGUCUGUGGGCAAAGCCGUGCACAAAAAUAACCGCCCGAAGGCCGGGGCGCCAAGUUCGUCCAUCGGAAAAAGGCCACAAAAACGGGUGGGCUAUAGCCUUGGGGGGUGGGGCUGGCCAACUUCGUCCGCCGGACUCGGAUUGCCACGAGACAUUGCGAGGGGCCUCCGUGUGCCAAAAAUAGGUCACAGGCAAAGCCGCGCCCAAAAAUAACAGCCCAAAGACCUGGGCGCCAACUUCGUCCAGCAGAAAAAGGCCACAAAAACGGGUGGGCUAUAGCCUUGGGGGGUGGGUCUGGCCA
RNAcentral lists this long non-coding RNA (10079 nucleotides) under Citrus x clementina. Its description in RNAcentral is "Citrus clementina (C. clementina) long non-coding RNA (CCLE_LNC003212)". The record is from RNAcentral. Lineage: Eukaryota; Viridiplantae; Streptophyta; Magnoliopsida; Sapindales; Rutaceae.